RNAcentral lists this RNase P RNA (330 nucleotides) under Poseidonibacter lekithochrous. RNAcentral's name for it is "RNase P RNA component class A". It matches the Rfam family "Bacterial RNase P class A". From Rfam's summary of the family: Ribonuclease P (RNase P) is a ubiquitous endoribonuclease, found in archaea, bacteria and eukarya as well as chloroplasts and mitochondria. Its best characterised activity is the generation of mature 5'-ends of tRNAs by cleaving the 5'-leader elements of precursor-tRNAs. Cellular RNase Ps are ribonucleoproteins. RNAcentral also lists the same sequence under 1 other name. Lineage: Bacteria; Pseudomonadati; Campylobacterota; Epsilonproteobacteria; Campylobacterales; Arcobacteraceae. The record is from RNAcentral.
AAGGUAAGCUUGACAAUAGCUUGAAUUAAAAUAUUCAAGAGGAAAGUCCGGGCUGCAGUGAAGUAUGGUUCCAUUUAACUAAUGGCUAGGGUAACCUAAGGGAUAGUGCAACAGAGAAUAGACAGCCAAUUUUUUGGUGAUGGUGAAACGGUGAGGUAAGAGCUCACCAGACUUUUGAGUAAUCAUUAGUGCUUUGUAAACCCAACUUGCAGCAAAAAGACCUGGUAUUUACUUCACAUUUUUGGUCUUUGCUCGACUACUAAAGUAAUUUAGUAGCUAGAUAAAUUAUUGUCUUUAAAACAAAACUCGGCUUAUGAGCUUACCUUUUUU